CAGUGCCGCGGGAACACGUAGGGUGCAAGCGUUAAUCGGAAUUACUGGGCGUAAAGCGUGCGCAGGCGGUUAUAUAAGACAGAUGUGAAAUCCCCGGGCUCAACCUGGGAACUGCAUUUGUGACUGUAUAGCUAGAGUACGGCAGAGGGGGAUGGAAUUCCGCGUGUAGCAGUGAAAUGCGUAGAUAUGCGGAGGAACACCGAUGGCGAAGGCAAUCCCCUGGGCCUGUACUGACGCUCAUGCACGAAAGCGUGGGGAGCAAACAGGAUUAGAUACCCGCGUAGUCCCUGUCUCUUAUACA
Molecule: ribosomal RNA, 301 nt
Filed under: uncultured bacterium
Lineage: Bacteria
Description: partial 16S ribosomal RNA
Rfam family: Bacterial small subunit ribosomal RNA
Source: RNAcentral